Rhododendron griersonianum is the source of this 79-nucleotide non-coding RNA. NCBI's taxonomy places the organism in Eukaryota, Viridiplantae, Streptophyta, Magnoliopsida, Ericales, Ericaceae. The record is from the annotation of a GenBank genome assembly.
AUCUGGGUGGUGUAGUCGGUCAUCAUGCUAAACUAGUCUAACACACAAGAGGUCCCCGCUUUGAACCCGGGCUCAGACA